Molecule: ribosomal RNA, 497 nt
Filed under: uncultured bacterium
Lineage: Bacteria
Description: partial 16S ribosomal RNA
Rfam family: Bacterial small subunit ribosomal RNA
Source: RNAcentral
GAUGAACGCUGGCGGCGUGCCUAAUACAUGCAAGUCGAGCGAACGGACGAGAAGCUUGCUUCUCUGAUGUUAGCGGCGGACGGGUGAGUAAAACGUGGAUAACCUACCUAUAAGACUGGGAUAAAUUCGGGAAACCGGAGCUAAUACCGGAUGAUAUUUUGAACCGCAUGGUUCAAAAGUGAAAGACGGUCUUGCUGUCACUUAUAGAUGGAUCCGCGCUGCAUUAGCUAGUUGGUAAGGUAACGGCUUACCAAGGCAACGAUGCAUAGCCGACCUGAGAGGGUGAUCGGCCACACUGGAACUGAGACACGGUCCAGACUCCUACGGGAGGCAGCAGUAGGGAAUCUUCCGCAAUGGGCGAAAGCCUGACGGAGCAACGCCGCGUGAGUGAUGAAGGUCUUCGGAUCAUAAAACUCUGUUAUUAGGGAAGAACAUAUGUGUAAGUAACUGUGCACAUCUUGACGGUACCUAAUCAGAAAGCCACGGCUAACUACGUG